RNAcentral lists this ribosomal RNA (486 nucleotides) under uncultured bacterium. RNAcentral's name for it is "partial 16S ribosomal RNA". It matches the Rfam family "Bacterial small subunit ribosomal RNA", at positions 28 to 507 of the family's 1533-position model. The record is from RNAcentral.
GAUGAACGCUGGCGGCGUGCCUAAUACAUGCAAGUCGAACGCUGGAGAUCUAGCUUGCUAGAUCGAAGGAGUGGCGAACGGGUGAGUAAUACAUAAGCAACCUACCCACGAAGACUGGGAUAAUCUCUGGAAACGGGGACUAAUACCGGAUAGGUAAUCGGAAGGCAUCUUCUGGUUAUUAAAGGUUAAAAACACUGGUGGAUGGGCUUAUGGCGCAUUAGUUAGUUGGUGAGGUAACGGCCCACCAAGACGAUGAUGCGUAGCCGGCCUGAGAGGGUGAACGGCCACAUUGGGACUGAGACACGGCCCAGACUCCUACGGGAGGCAGCAGUAGGGAAUUUUCGGCAAUGGGGGCAACCCUGACCGAGCAACGCCGCGUGAGUGAAGACGGCCUUCGGGUUGUAAAGCUCUGUUGUAAGGGAAGAACGGUAGAUAGAGAAUAUCUAAUUGACGGUACCUUACCAGAAAGCCACGGCUAACUACGUG